UGGAUUGUGGCUCAGUGGUAGAGUGCUUGCCUAGCAUGUGCAAGGCCCUGGGUUCGAUCCUCAGCGCUACAU
This 72-nucleotide transfer RNA is filed under the name Urocitellus parryii (Arctic ground squirrel). Its description in RNAcentral is "Spermophilus parryii (Arctic ground squirrel) tRNA". It matches the Rfam family "tRNA". From Rfam's summary of the family: Transfer RNA (tRNA) molecules are approximately 80 nucleotides in length. Lineage: Eukaryota; Metazoa; Chordata; Mammalia; Rodentia; Sciuridae. The record is from Rfam by way of RNAcentral. RNAcentral also lists the same sequence under 1 other name.